This 253-nucleotide ribosomal RNA is filed under the name uncultured bacterium. RNAcentral describes it as "partial 16S ribosomal RNA". It matches the Rfam family "Bacterial small subunit ribosomal RNA", at positions 524 to 776 of the family's 1533-position model. The record is from RNAcentral.
UACGGAGGAUGCGAGCGUUAUCCGGAUUUAUUGGGUUUAAAGGGUGCGUAGGCGGACUUUUAAGUGAGAUGUGAAAUACUCGGGCUCAACUUGAGUGCUGCAUUUCAAACUGGAAGUCUAGAGUGCAGGAGAGGAGAAUGGAAUUCCUAGCGUAGCGGUGAAAUGCGUAGAGAUUAGGAAGAACACCAGUGGCGAAGGCGAUUCUCUGGACUGUAACUGACGCUGAGGCUCGAAAGCGUGGGGAGCAAACAGG